RNAcentral lists this ribosomal RNA (373 nucleotides) under uncultured organism. Its description in RNAcentral is "partial 16S ribosomal RNA". It matches the Rfam family "Bacterial small subunit ribosomal RNA", at positions 526 to 896 of the family's 1533-position model. The record is from RNAcentral.
GUAGGUGGGCAAGCGUUGUCCGGAAUUAUUGGGCGUAAAGCGCGCGCAGGGCGGUUCUUUAAGUCUGAUGUGAAAGCCCACGGCUCAACCGUGGAGGGUCAUUGGAAACUGGAGAACUUGAGUACAGAAGAGGAAAGCGGAAUUCCACGUGUAGCGGUGAAAUGCGUAGAGAUGUGGAGGAACACCAGUGGCGAAGGCGGCUUUCUGGUCUGUAACUGACGCUGAGGCGCGAAAGCGUGGGGAGCAAACAGGAUUAGAUACCCUGGUAGUCCACGCCGUAAACGAUGAGUGCUAAGUGUUAGGGGGUUUCCGCCCCUUAGUGCUGCAGCUAACGCAUUAAGCACUCCGCCUGGGGGGUACGGCCGCAAGGCUG